UACAAGGGACAUCCAAUCUAGGGAUGAGAAUAACUACAGGAAUGAGAGAAGUGAUGAAUUUAGUGGCUUAUACUGAUUCAGAUUGGGGUGGCUCAUCAGAUAGGAGGUCAAUUACAGGAUCAAGCAUAUGCAUGGUAUGGCAAUAAUUUAUUGUCUUGAUCAACUAAAAAGCAGCCAGCAAUAUCAAAUUCAAGCUCAAAGACAGAGUUUAAGGCCAUGGCUCAUGUUAC
RNAcentral lists this long non-coding RNA (230 nucleotides) under Zostera marina. Its description in RNAcentral is "long non-coding RNA (ZMAR_LNC002011)". Lineage: Eukaryota; Viridiplantae; Streptophyta; Magnoliopsida; Alismatales; Zosteraceae. The record is from RNAcentral.